CUUCUCUUGCUCCUAACCUUUACCUCUUGAUUGAUUCUUGAAUUUAAAUACAAGUUCAACGUACUAUAUAUGUACCAAGACAAAUCAUAAAUGGGUUCGAUUCUUCCCAUCAAUCUUGGUCAGAUAUGGUCCAACCAUUCUUUACUGCCAGGAAGGCCAUUCAAAUAGCGUUGUCAUUCUUUUGAUAAUAACAGAGUUUUGUCAGUGUUAUAGAUAAGGGUGCCCCUUAGGGUGUGCCUCACAUCGCUAGAUGGCAACCGGUUGUAGAAAUUUUUAAGAUCUCACAGCGCAAUCAGGGUUAGACUCAUGCGACCAGCCCCUGAUCACAAUAGGAGACCCUACGACCAGUUUUUGCUGGUCGUCGGGCAGGUACUCACCUAGCUGGCCAAGUCUUAUUUAAUGUUGAUCACUCAAGUAUUUUCUUUUGCACUCCCUUUCGGUGAGCAUGGUCGUGGAAUGACGUGGUGUAGCAGUGACACAUCCCGCAACAUUUAAUGUUGUGGGAUGGCCUGACGAGUGGCAUGAUGGCGUUCGGUGAUGGUACAGGUCGUGCAGGAACACAAGAGCAGGGUGGCGCGCAUACCCACCGUCAUGAUGAGCUAGGAAUAGCUAGGUUGUAUUGGGUAUAGGUCUAUCACCUGUUUUGGCACGAUCCGUUUGUAUAUAAAGGGAGGGAGACCGGGAUAGUAGAGGGAGGACUGUAACCAUUUUCAUACUCGAUAGGAAAAUACACAGAACGUAGAGCUAUUAUCGAACGGGAGAUCUGAACCUGGAUAAAUCAUUGUGUUCUUGAGUCCCUUUGGCACACACACAUCUCAGCCAGAAACGUAGAUCAACUCGUCCAUUGUCCGGUAUACCCCGGAUACAUUGUCAGGAAUCAACCAUCGACAAGUUUAUUGAAGCACCAUCACAAAAAACGAUUGGUGCAGCAACACUUCAUUUAGAUCUUGUAGAGAUGCAUUUCAUAGUUGUGGAAGAACUGAAGCAGCUGUAAAUGAAAUAGCACUCGCUACCUAUUUUUGUAGAUCUCCAAGCAUGUAGCUUCCUAGGCAAUUUAGUGAUAUAGCUUGGUCAGAGUUCAGAUUCAUAAUAAAAGACAGUGAGCACUCAGUGCCCUCAUUUUGUAACCUGUGCAGGCUUAAAACUUGUAAAUGUACAUUUUUUAACCACCAUUUCUGUCAAAUUUGGGCAGAUCUUGAAAUGCAUUAUAAGUGUAGCAUGUAAAUCCUGUAAGAAGCCAAAGCAUGACUUCUAAAUGACAGAUCUGAUCUGACAUUUUACUUUAUGUGGCACAUGGUCAAAGUCUAUUUACUACUCUAGAGCAGCUAUUGAGUCAUAGUGAUUACCUAUGCUUCAAGUUCUGAAUGUUAUUUCAGUUAUUAUUCUUUGCUCUCGUGUUCCAAGUGGUAUAUAGAUAUGCACUGAAUUGAAUUGAACGUGACUGAGCUUCUAGGUCUAUUUAAUUCGAUGCCAUUCCAGAUUUGUUCGAUGAAGGAUGAGGAUGUUAAAUUAUGCAUAUCUUUAGAUGAUUGAAAAGCUUCAAAGUUACAACCAUUGAAAUAGCUCUCAGUGUUGCACACAACUAUGUGACCACUAAGACUAGAAAACUGAUCGAGAUAUAAAAAAUUGCUCCUUUCAAAGCUCAAGAGUCUAGGACCAGUCCAGUGUUCAUGGAAAAGCUAUCAGGCAGAGACAGAUCAAACUGGUUAAUUACUCUUAGCAUCACACACGUUGUCUGCUGAUUUUGAGCUGGUCAAGUUGAACAGUGGGUGACUACUGGGUGUUUGAUCAAAUGCCUGCUUGAGUUUAGUUGCGUGUAGGGGACUGUGAACAAUGAGUAUGAGACCCUUGGCUACUUUAUUAAAGGGUCUACCUUCUCUUGACACAGCUUGGGAUUGACAAAGAUCGCCUACGCUUCCGACAGCAUCUGCCAAAUGAAAUGGCUCACUAUGCUGCUGAUUGUUAAGAUGCAGAAAUUAAAUGCUCUUACGGGUGGAUCGGGUGGAUUGAGUGUUUUGGAAUUGCUGAUAGGUCUGCAUAUGACUUGCGUGCUCACUCAGUAUCUAUCAUCAUAGAAUGCUUACAGUCUUGGUAUUGCUGGGAUAACAAAAUAAGUAGUUCAGUAUAUAAUAAAGAAUUCCAAAUCAGUUUUUCUUUGGUUGAAGCAAAUGAUCAAGGUUGACAAUCAAGCGUUCACAUAUAAUGCCACUCAGAUAACAUUGUUGAGUUUCAGGUUAUAUUAUUUAAGGUGUUAGCAGGUAUUGAAUCUCCUAUGUGUGUUUUUGUUGCUGCUAGGGCUGUCAACAAGCCGAGCUCGAGCGACCCUGACAUGGCAAGCUUGAGCUCGGUAGAAACUCAAGCUUAGCUCAAGCAAGUUUGGGUUGCCGACUGAGUUUAGAGACAAAAUUGAGUUUUGCUCAACCGAAGCUCGACUUAAGUAAGCUUGUUAACAUAAAAAAAAUUACAAAUUUUCUUCUUUAUUCCUUAAUCAAACGUAUAAAUUGUGGAAGUUCUUGAAUAAAAAAAAGGAAAUUGGGACACGCGUAUGACCUCACAGCUG
Molecule: long non-coding RNA, 2560 nt
Organism: Phragmites australis (common reed)
Lineage: Eukaryota; Viridiplantae; Streptophyta; Magnoliopsida; Poales; Poaceae
Exons: 3
Source: RefSeq, a predicted model, not a curated record